RNAcentral lists this ribosomal RNA (716 nucleotides) under uncultured Staphylococcus sp. Its description in RNAcentral is "bacterial SSU rRNA". It matches the Rfam family "Bacterial small subunit ribosomal RNA", at positions 42 to 739 of the family's 1533-position model. The record is from RNAcentral. Lineage: Bacteria; Bacillati; Bacillota; Bacilli; Caryophanales; Staphylococcaceae.
GCGUGCCUAAUACAUGCAAGUCGAGCGAACGGACGAGAAGCUUGCUUCUCUGAUGUUAGCGGCGGACGGGUGAGUAACACGUGGAUAACCUACCUAUAAGACUGGGAUAACUUCGGGAAACCGGAGCUAAUACCGGAUAAUAUUUUGAACCGCAUGGUUCAAAAGUGAAAGACGGUCUUGCUGUCACUUAUAGAUGGAUCCGCGCUGCAUUAGCUAGUUGGUAAGGUAACGGCUUACCAAGGCAACGAUGCAUAGCCGACCUGAGAGGGUGAUCGGCCACACUGGAACUGAGACACGGUCCAGACUCCUACGGGAGGCAGCAGUAGGGAAUCUUCCGCAAUGGGCGAAAGCCUGACGGAGCACACGCCGCGUGAGUGAUGAAGGUCUUCGGAUCGUAAAACUCUGUUAUUAGGGAAGAACAUAUGUGUAAGUAACUGUGCACAUCUUGACGGUACCUAAUCAGAAAGCCACGGCUAACUACGUGCCAGCAGCCGCGGUAAUACGUAGGUGGCAAGCGUUAUCCGGAAUUAUUGGGCGUAAAGCGCGCGUAGGCGGUUUUUUAAGUCUGAUGUGAAAGCCCACGGCUCAACCGUGGAGGGUCAUUGGAAACUGGAAAACUUGAGUGCAGAAGAGGAAAGUGGAAUUCCAUGUGUAGCGGUGAAAUGCGCAGAGAUAUGGAGGAACACCAGUGGCGAAGGCGACUUUCUGGUCUGUAA